CGACCGGCGCACGGGUGAGUAACGCGUGGGUAACCUGCCUCAUACAGGGGGAUAACAGUUAGAAAUGACUGCUAAUACCGCAUAAGACCACAGCACCGCAUGGUGCGGGGGUAAAAACUCCGGUGGUAUGAGAUGGACCCGCGUCUGAUUAGCUGGUUGGUAAGGUAACGGCUUACCAAGGCGACGAUCAGUAGCCGACCUGAGAGGGUGACCGGCCACAUUGGGACUGAAACACGGCCCAA
RNAcentral lists this ribosomal RNA (242 nucleotides) under uncultured bacterium. RNAcentral's name for it is "partial 16S ribosomal RNA". It matches the Rfam family "Bacterial small subunit ribosomal RNA", at positions 92 to 334 of the family's 1533-position model. The record is from RNAcentral.